This 468-nucleotide ribosomal RNA is filed under the name uncultured bacterium. Its description in RNAcentral is "partial 16S ribosomal RNA". It matches the Rfam family "Bacterial small subunit ribosomal RNA", at positions 28 to 507 of the family's 1533-position model. The record is from RNAcentral.
GACGAACGCUGGCGGCGUGCUUAACACAUGCAAGUCGAACGGAAAGGCCCUGCUUUUGUGGGGUGCUCGAGUGGCGAACGGGUGAGUAACACGUGAGUAACCUGCCCUUAACUUUGGGAUAACUUCAGGAAACUGGGGCUAAUACCGGAUAGGAGCUCCUGCUGCAUGGUGGGGGUUUGAAAGUUUCGGCGGUUGGGGAUGGACUCGCGGCUUAUCAGCUUGUUGGUGGGGUAGUGGCUUACCAAGGCUUUGACGGGUAGCCGGCCUGAGAGGGUGACCGGCCACAUUGGGACUGAGAUACGGACCAGACUCCUACGGGAGGCAGCAGUGGGGAAUAUUGCACAAUGGGCGGAAGCCUGAUGCAGCAACGCCGCGUGCGGGAUGACGGCCUUCGGGUUGUAAACCGCUUUCGCCUGUGACGAAGCGUGAGUGACGGUAAUGGGUAAAGAAGCACCGGCUAACUACGUG